GCCCUGGUGGCGGAAUGGUAGACGCACGGCGCUUAGAAUGCUGGGCCGAAAGGCGUGGGAGUUCGAGUCUCCCCUAGGGCACCA
This 84-nucleotide transfer RNA is filed under the name Caudoviricetes sp. RNAcentral describes it as "tRNA-Leu". It matches the Rfam family "tRNA". Rfam says of the family: Transfer RNA (tRNA) molecules are approximately 80 nucleotides in length. Lineage: Duplodnaviria; Heunggongvirae; Uroviricota; Caudoviricetes. The record is from RNAcentral.